RNAcentral lists this ribosomal RNA (478 nucleotides) under bacterium 2611-S2-01-3. RNAcentral's name for it is "bacterial SSU rRNA". It matches the Rfam family "Bacterial small subunit ribosomal RNA", at positions 58 to 515 of the family's 1533-position model. The record is from RNAcentral.
CAAGUCGAGCGGCAGCGACUUAACUGAACCUUCGGGGGACGUUAAGGGCGGCGAGCGGCGGACGGGUGAGUAAUGCCUGGGAAAUUGCCCUGAUGUGGGGGAUAACCAUUGGAAACGAUGGCUAAUACCGCAUAAUCUCUUCGGAGUAAAGAGGGGGACCUUCGGGCCUCUCGCGUCAGGAUAUGCCCAGGUGGGAUUAGCUAGUUGGUGAGGUAAGGGCUCACCAAGGCGACGAUCCCUAGCUGGUCUGAGAGGAUGAUCAGCCACACUGGAACUGAGACACGGUCCAGACUCCUACGGGAGGCAGCAGUGGGGAAUAUUGCACAAUGGGCGCAAGCCUGAUGCAGCCAUGCCGCGUGUAUGAAGAAGGCCUUCGGGUUGUAAAGUACUUUCAGUGGUGAGGAAGGCAGUGUUGUGAAUAGCACCAUUGUUUGACGUUAGCCACAGAAGAAGCACCGGCUAACCCCGUGCCAACCGC